AGAGUUUGAUCCUGGCUCAGGAUGAACGCUAGCGGCAGGCCUAAUACAUGCAAGUCGAGGGGUAGAGGCUGCUUGCAGCCUUGAGACCGGCGCACGGGUGCGUAACGCGUAUGCAACCUGCCCAAACCUGGGGGAUAGCCCGGAGAAAUCCGGAUUAAUACCGCAUAAAACCACAGCACGGCAUCGUGCAAUGGUCAAACAUUCAUGGGGUUUGGAUGGGCAUGCGUGCCAUUAGUUAGUUGGCGGGGUAACGGCCCACCAAGACCGCGAUGGCUAGGGGAUCUGAGAGGAUGGCCCCCCACACUGGUACUGAGACACGGACCAGACUCCUACGGGAGGCAGCAGUAAGGAAUAUUGGUCAAUGGGCGCAAGCCUGAACCAGCCAUGCCGCGUGCAGGAAGACGGCCCUCCGGGUUGUAAACUGCUUUUAUUCGGGAAUAAACCUUUCUACGUGUAGGAAGCUGAAUGUACCGAAGGAAUAAGGAUCGGCUAACUCCGUG
This 500-nucleotide ribosomal RNA is filed under the name uncultured Sphingobacteriaceae bacterium. RNAcentral's name for it is "bacterial SSU rRNA". It matches the Rfam family "Bacterial small subunit ribosomal RNA", at positions 8 to 507 of the family's 1533-position model. The record is from RNAcentral. Lineage: Bacteria; Pseudomonadati; Bacteroidota; Sphingobacteriia; Sphingobacteriales; Sphingobacteriaceae.